This 3223-nucleotide long non-coding RNA is filed under the name Mus pahari (shrew mouse). RNAcentral's name for it is "lncRNA (MGP_PahariEiJ_G0004143.1)". Lineage: Eukaryota; Metazoa; Chordata; Mammalia; Rodentia; Muridae. The record is from RNAcentral.
AGUGGGUUGUCGGCCAGCAGCAAGCGCGGCUGGGGCAAGUCGCCAUCGCGCUCGAGCGCGCGCAGCUCGUCGGGGCCCAGGCCGGCCAGCGCGUUGACUCGCGCAUCCAGCUGCUCCAGGCGCGGCAGGCGCAGCGCGGCGGGUGGCAGGCGGCUCAGCGCGUUGCCUGCCAAGCCCAGCAGGCGAAGCUCGGCCAGGGGGGCCAGAGCGGCGUCCAGUGCAUCCAGCAUCCCGGGGCUGCCUCGAGCCAGCGCGUGAUUGAGCUGUAGUGAGCGCAGCGCAGGCAGCCCGCGAAAGGCGCGGUAGCCCAGGGCGCGUAGCGGGUUGUGACUUAGGUCGAGUGCCGCUAGGCUGGGCAGCCCGUCGAAGGCACCGUCCUCUACUACCUCGAUGUUGUUGUGUGUGAGGCGCAGCGCGGUAAGGAGCGGUAGGCGCACGCCGUCCGUCGCCUCCUCGUCCCCUCCCGCGAAGGCGGCGGCGCGCAGCACGGUCAGGUUGGCGCCCACGAUGGUGAGGUUGCGCGCGUCGGGUGGCACGUCCCGGGGCGGCUGCCGGAGCUCCGCGCCCGACGCGCAGCGCAACAUUAACCGGGGGCUGCCGAAGCAGUAACACUGGAAGGGACAGGGCGCGGCGGGCCGGCUCAGCGCCGCCGCCAAGAGCAGCAGCCCUGGCAGCGGGCUCCAGAGCCCACGCUGUCCCGCGCGCGGGGCCAUCGCGGCCGUCCCCGCAUCCAGCCCCCGGCCCGCAGCGCUCACCAGUGAGUUGGGAGCGUUUGGAGAUGAUGGGGGUGGCACGGGAAGGUGGCGGUGGGCUAGACCUUGACCCGGAGCAGCUGACAGUUCCGACCGGUCCGUCCUCCGGCUUGUAAAGUCCGAGGAGCCUUCACUUUGAUGGCUGGGGGCUACAGGGGUCAGGCGGGGAGCGGAGCCCCCCCGCCCCCGCUGCCCUCGUCGCCCUGCGCUCCGGCCUCCGACUUCCGCGGCCGUUCCGGGCUCUGAGCCGAGUGGGCAGGGUUUGCCUCCCCCUCCCCGCCUCCCGGCCGCCUCCUCCGCCCCCAGCGGAGUCUCCGCACCUCCUCGCCGAGGGAGGCGGGGUGGGAGGCUCGGGAGCAGCAGGCUUAGGGCCGCUGCGCUCUCCUGCUCCCCUGCUCUCUAGUUCACGAGAUGCUGAGAAGUUUGGCUCCCCAAGCUCUGACUUGCUUCUUUCCCCACCCCCUUCGUUUAGGCAGCUUCUUUCCUCCUCCCUCCGAAGCACAGGUGGGGCGGGGCCCUCAGGGCUGACCUGGCAGGUGGAUCUGUGCACCCAGAGAAGGUGGGAGAGUUUAGAGCUGUCCCUAGAAAAGGAGGCAGGGCUGAGGGGUGGGCUGACAAAGUUACUCUUCUGGAAGUCAAGGAAAGGGGCUGUGUUAAGGGAGCGAGCCUGGAAAAUCCCUAGCCUUGGAUGUCUCCUUUGCGAACCCAGUUCCCUUAGGCUGUGUCUCCAACUCUGCAGGUCCUGUGUGUCCAGCCUUUUUAUCGACCCUUUCCUAUGCCCUAGGGAAGCCUAAUGCACCCUCUGUCCCCACAUCUCCCGCGCCCUAAUUCAGGCCGCUCUGCCUCUGCCAAGACCACUCCCAUUGGUUCCACCCUUCAGGCUGGACCCCUCUUAGGCUCAGGGAGCGGUGGGUGGAGUGAUUCAGCUCUUUGCUUGCCCACCCCACCCCAGCACUGAGCACCGCCAGGAUACUGUGUGGUCAGCAGGCCCCUUCCCCUCCAAACUCCCCUACCAGUCAAUAUUGAGUGGGGUGCCGGUUGGGGAGGGGGCUCCAGGAGCAGGACAAUCAGGAACUAAUUUUGUAGUGGAGGGUGGGGGUGUGGUAAGAUCCAGGGCUGAGGUGGGGGCUGAGCUGUUAAUAGGCUUGGUUUGUUUUCUUCUGGAUUUUACUUAUUUACGUUUUUUUUUUUUUUUCCUUCAGAAUUGAGAAGCUCAAGACCUGAUUUAAAGAGACCGACUCCGGAGGAGGGAGCACUCCUGGUCUUGGCAUGAAUUAUUCAGGUUGGAGAAGCUGACAUUUGAUCUGCAGGCCAUUCGAGUAUCUUACUUGGCAGAGCUGGUUGGGAUAGAGGCUCCCCUCCUCCCCAUUAGAACCAGCCAAUCUCUUUCUCCUGAAUUGGGGACCAUUGGUUGGUUUCUUCCCUGAAGUUGCACUUAGCAGAUCGGACCAGCAGACUGAAACCACUUUCCGAGGCAUACCCUGCAGUGGCCUGGGUCUCAGGCAAAUACCAACACUAAGGGCCAGGCUGGUGAUCGUGCUGGUCUCCCCAGCUCAUAUUGACCUAGUCCUGUCUCCACGAUAACCUCCAGAUGCCAACAGAUGACAGUAGUAGCUUUCAUGUUUAGAGCUGGACGUUGUCUGUAUACAUGGCCACGUGAGUUUACGCAUACAUGUGUGCCUCUACGCCGAGAGGCAAACUUUACACAAACAGACCUACACACGCCCAUGUGUGGUCUAACAGAUUUAUUCUUACUUGGAUGUGCAUGCAUGUGCACGGGAGGCUUGCACACAGCAGUUCCAAACAAAUGGGUUUCACAUAGCCACAUGCAGGCUCACUCUUGCCUGUGUACAUAGCGGCGUUGAGUGUAGCCUGGUAUGUGUCCACAGAGUCAGACGCAUACCAAAGUGCUUGAGUGCUCACUCACUGGGCCAUCACAGGUUCAACUGCAGCCUUAGAGGGGCAGCUUGCAGACUCCUGUGAAAGUGAAUGCGUGUAGACGGGGUCCUUUCUUGCUCUGGACUGUGUUCUUAGCCUUCGGAGGUCACGGGUACUUUUUCCCACACAGCACAAGUGCUCAGAUCACGAGUGACCAGAGCAGCCUGCUUCCCUGACUCAACUGCAUGGAGACCUCCUGCCUCCUGUCCCUAAGGAAGUGUAGACCACUGCCAAGGCCGAAGCUCCCUCUCGGGUUUCCAUGGUGGCUGCCUUCUGAUUGCUGCUGACUGCCUUCUCCGAGGGAGAGGGGCUACAUGGUUGCAGGCAGCUUUCAUUGACUGGUGUUAAACACCUCAGUUGGGGAAGAGCAGCUUAAGAAGAACGGACGAUCAUUAGGCAAGGGGACCCGUGUUCUCUGUGUUGUAUGAAUGAGGAAACUGUUGUGUUCUCUGGAAGAAGGGCUCUCUCCCUUUGGGAGUUGUCGGUGUAUUAUGUCCGUAGGUGUUUCAAUAAAUGUCUGUCUGUUUGGGGCC